RNAcentral lists this long non-coding RNA (654 nucleotides) under Ananas comosus (pineapple). RNAcentral's name for it is "long non-coding RNA (ACOM_LNC031998)". Lineage: Eukaryota; Viridiplantae; Streptophyta; Magnoliopsida; Poales; Bromeliaceae. The record is from RNAcentral.
AUUUGAAAAAUUAAUAGUGGCAUUAUUUUUCAAGAAUAAAUAUAAAAAUAUAUUUUACUACCGUUUGGUUCGGGGUUAAGUAAAAACUUGUUAUUUCAGGAAUACAGUUAAGUUCAGGGUUAAGAUAGGAUUAGAGUAAUUUUAUGUUUGGUUGAGAAUUGAGUUUAGUCCAGAUAUAGAUAAAAUAAUAUUUGAUUGGAAUAGGUGGGAUAAGAAGGAUAAUGGAUAAAAUAGUAUUUUGUUUGGUUGGAAUAGCAAGGUGUGGUGGGGUGGGGUAGGGUGGAGCCUCCCAUAUUGAGUGUUUAGAAAUAACUUCGGGCUUAAGGGGUUAUUCCACCCCUCCGAACCAAACGGAUGCUCAGUGUUUGGUUAGGGGAUAGGGAUAGGAAUAGGCCCUUAUCCCCCUCUUUAUACUCAAAUGCUAAUUUUUUAUCCGAGAAUAGUAGUUCUCAGUUAUCCCCACCAACACCUUCAUUUUUUAUAUAAAACUAUUUAAAGUUAUUCUUAUUCCCGGGAACAAUCUAAUUUUCAUCCAAACACUAUUUUUCUUAUCCCCAUACUUGUACUUAUCAUUAUAAUAGCUAGUUCUUACUUAUAUCCGAACCAAACGGAUGCUUAAAGAAUAAUCAGAAUGCCGACACGUCAACAGAGUAC